CCUACGGGUGGCUGCAGUGGGGGAUAUUGGACAAUGGGGGGAACCCUGAUCCAGCGACGCCGCGUGAGUGAAGAAGUAUUUCGGUAUGUAAAGCUCUGUCAGCAGGGAAGAAAGCAAUGACGGUACCUGACCAAGAAGCCCCGGCUAACUACGUGCCAGCAGCCGCGGUAAUACGUAGGGGGCAAGCGUUAUCCGGAAUUACUGGGUGUAAAGGGAGCGUAGACGGCUGUGCAAGUCUGGAGUGAAAGGCGGGGGCCCAACCCCCGGACUGCUCUGGAAACUGUAUGGCUGGAGUGCAGGAGAGGUAAGCGGAAUUCCUAGUGUAGCGGUGAAAUGCGUAGAUAUUAGGAGGAACACCAGUGGCGAAGGCGGCUUACUGGACUGUAACUGACGUUGAGGCUCGAAAGCGUGGGGAGCAAACAGGAUUAGAUACCCGAGUAGUC
Molecule: ribosomal RNA, 443 nt
Filed under: uncultured bacterium
Lineage: Bacteria
Description: partial 16S ribosomal RNA
Rfam family: Bacterial small subunit ribosomal RNA
Source: RNAcentral